Molecule: ribosomal RNA, 513 nt
Filed under: uncultured Pseudomonas sp.
Lineage: Bacteria; Pseudomonadati; Pseudomonadota; Gammaproteobacteria; Pseudomonadales; Pseudomonadaceae
Description: bacterial SSU rRNA
Rfam family: Bacterial small subunit ribosomal RNA
Source: RNAcentral
CUAUGCGCCUUCGCCACGCCCGACCUCAGAAACUACAAUGAAGUGACGGGGCCCGCACAAGCGGAGGAGCAUGUGGUUUAAUUCGAUGAUACGCGAGGAACCUUACCUGGGCUCGAACGUAAGAUGACUGUAGGUGAAAGCUUACAUCUCUUCGGAGCAUUUUACGAGGUGCUGCAUGGUUGUCGUCAGCUCGUGCCGUGAGGUGUCGGGUUAAGUCCCAUAACGAGCGCAACCCUUGUCCUUAGUUACCAGCACGUUAUGGUGGGGACUCGUAAGAGACUGCCGGGGUCAACUCGGAGGAAGGUGGGGACGACGUCAAGUCAUCAUGCCCUUUACGGCCUGGGCUACACACGUGCUACAAUGGUCGGUACAAAGGGUUGCCAAGCCGCGAGGUGGAGCUAAUCCCAUAAAACCGAUCGUAGUCCGGAUCGCAGUCUGCAACUCGACUGCGUGAAGUCGGAAUCGCUAGUAAUCGUGAAUCAGAAUGUCACGGUGAAUACGUUCCCGGGCCUU